AUUGAACGCUGGCGGUAGGCCUAACACAUGCAAGUCGAACGGCAGCACAGUAAGAGCUUGCUCUUACGGGUGGCGAGUGGCGGACGGGUGAGGAAUACAUCGGAAUCUACUUUUUCGUGGGGGAUAACGUAGGGAAACUUACGCUAAUACCGCAUACGACCUACGGGUGAAAGCAGGGGAUCUUCGGACCUUGCGCGAUUGAAUGAGGCGAUGUCGGAUUAGCUAGUUGGCGGGGUAAAGGCCCACCAAGGCGACGAUCCGUAGCUGGUCUGAGAGGAUGAUCAGCCACACUGGAACUGAGACACGGUCCAGACUCCUACGGGAGGCAGCAGUGGGGAAUAUUGGACAAUGGGCGCAAGCCUGAUCCAGCCAUGCCGCGUGGGUGAAGAAGGCCUUCGGGUUGUAAAGCCCUUUUGUUGGGAAAGAAAAGCAGCAGGUUAAUACCCCGCUGUUCUGACGGUACCCAAAGAAUAAGCACCGGCUAACUUCGUG
RNAcentral lists this ribosomal RNA (492 nucleotides) under uncultured bacterium. RNAcentral describes it as "partial 16S ribosomal RNA". It matches the Rfam family "Bacterial small subunit ribosomal RNA", at positions 30 to 507 of the family's 1533-position model. The record is from RNAcentral.